Molecule: ribosomal RNA, 103 nt
Filed under: uncultured Actinomycetes bacterium
Lineage: Bacteria; Bacillati; Actinomycetota; Actinomycetes
Description: uncultured actinobacterium partial 16S ribosomal RNA
Rfam family: Bacterial small subunit ribosomal RNA
Source: RNAcentral
GCCGCGUGAGGGAUGAAGGCCUUCGGGUUGUAAACCUCUUUCAUCAGGGAAGAAAAUGACGGGACCCGCACAAGAAACUCCGGCCAACUUCGUGCCAGCCCCC